CAACCUCUGACGAGGUUCGUGUAUGUUG
This is a regulatory RNA element of 28 nucleotides. It matches the Rfam family "L19-Flavobacteria ribosomal protein leader". The record is from Rfam.